UAUAGCAACACAUCUGCCCAUAAAUGGGCGCGAAGGGGUAGUAGCCUCUCUUUAGAGACAGAAAUUAUUUUUGUUUUCCUCAGCCAGAGCCUGCUAAGCUGAGUGAGGCUGUUCGUCCUCUCAGCUGUGCAAUUUUUAUUUCUCCCUAGGAGUUGGGGCCUGGAAGAAAUUGCAGCAUGUCAUCGAAGAGAGUGCCAUUUUACCAGAGAAGGCAUAAACACUUUGAUCAGUCCUACCGCAACAUUCAGACAAGAUACUUGCUCCAAGAAUAUGCAGCCAGAAAGGUCGCUUCUAGACAGGCAGCUUCCUUUAAGUCCUCUGCCAGUACAGAAAGAACUACAUGUAGGCUCUGUGCCAGGAGGUUACACACUUCAGCCGAAGAAGAGUCACAAGAAUACAGGAAAAGGACUCAUGAGCAAAAGUCUGAUAUAAGUGAAGAGAGGAGGAUCCGGUUUGCCGCCAAUUUGGCUGAUGUGGAAGAAGAGCUUCGUUCAGCCAGGCUCCUUGCAAGAGAACAUCUGGAUAGAGUUACCAUACAAAGGAUGGUAGAAGAACAAAUGGCCUUGGAAAGAUACACCAUUGAAGAAAGUAUAAGUCGAGCUCCUGAAAUUUUGGUACGACUGAGGUCUCAUACUGUUUGGGAAAAAAUGUCUGUGAGGCUUUACUUCACUGUACAAGGAUUUCCUACCCCUGUUGUACAAUGGUAUAAAAAUGAGGAAUUGAUUUCGCCUGCAAGUGAACCAGGAAAGUACAGCAUCGAAAGCAAAUAUGGAGUGCAUAUGCUGGAGAUACACAGAGCUAAUUUUGAUGAUACUGCUACCUAUACAGCAGUUGCAACAAAUGUCCAUGGGCAGGUGUCAACCAAUGCUGCUGUGGUUGUGAGGAGGUUCAGAGGGGAUGAAGAGCCAUACGCUGGUGGGAUAUUACCCAUCAAUUUGCCCCUGCCAUCAGAAGUUUGCUUCACCCAUAUUGAUGUUCAGUUUUUGGAGAAGUUUGGUGUCACCUUUGGGAUGGAAGGCGAAACAGUUACCCUCAAAUGUGCUCUGCUGAUCACUCCGGAUCUGACUAGGCUUCGACCUCGUGCUGAAUGGUACAGAGAUGAUGUGCUAAUAAAAGACUCCAAGUGGACGAAAAUGUACUUUGGAGAAGGCCAGGCAGCACUGUCUUUCACGCAUCUGAACAAGGAUGAUGAAGGCUUAUACACCCUGCGCAUAAUCACAAAAGGAGGGGUGACUGAGUACAGUGCAUUCAUGUUUGUCAGAGAUGCUGACGCAUUAAUUGCUGGGGCACCCGGGGCACCAAUGGAUGUUAAAUGCUAUGAUGCUAACAGAGAUUAUGUCAUUGUAACCUGGAAACCACCCAAUACAGCAAGUGAGAGUCCAGUCAUAGGAUAUUUUGUUGACAGAUGUGAAGUGGGUACUGAAAACUGGGUCCAGUGCAAUGAUGCUCCACUAAAAAUCUGCAAAUACCCUGUAACUGGACUGUUUGAGGGACGGUCUUACAUAUUCCGUGUGAGAGCAGUGAACAAGUCGGGUAUUAGCAGGCCGUCUAGAGUUUCUGAAGCAGUUGCAGCUCUUGAUCCUGUUGACUUAGACAGAUUACAAACUGUUCAUCUGGAUGGAGGCAGAGACAUUGUAAUAUAUCAGGAUGACCUUGAAGGCGAUGUUCAGAUUCCAGGACCUCCCACCAAUGUACAUGCUUCAGAAACCAGCAAAACAUAUGUUGUACUCAGCUGGGAGCCACCUGUUCCCCGUGGCAAAGAGCCAUUAAUGUAUUUCAUUGAGAAGUCUGCGGUUGGCAGUGGAAGCUGGCAAAGGGUCAAUGCCCAGGUUGCAGUGAGAUCUCCUCGCUAUGCAGUGUUUGAUCUUGCAGAAGGAAAAUCAUAUGUUUUCCGAGUCUUGUCAGCAAACAAGCAUGGCAUUAGCGAUCCUUCUGAAACAACACCACCAAUUCAAGCACAAGAGACCAUUGGUGUCCCAUCUGCUCCUGGCCGUGUACUGGCAACAAGAAAUACAAAAACAUCAGUUGUAGUACAGUGGGACAAGCCAAAACACGAAGAAGAUCUGUUUGGCUACUAUAUUGAUACUUCUGUGGUGGGAACAAACCACUGGGAACCUUGCAAUCAUAAACCUAUUAAAUAUAAUAGGUUUGUGGUUCAUGGUCUGACAACUGGAGAGAAUUACAUCUUUCGUGUGAAAGCUGCGAAUGCUGUGGGAGUCAGCGAAAAUUCUCAAGAAUCUGAAGCUAUAACAGUACAGGCAGCCCUCAGAGGGAGUGUACCUCACAUUGCCUGUCCAUCACAUCCUUAUGGCCUCACACUCCUUAACUGUGAUGGCCACUCAAUGACUCUCGGGUGGAAACUGCCAAAGUUCAGUGGAGGAUCACCAGUCCUUGGUUAUUAUAUAGACAAGAGGGAGGCUCAUCACCAUAACUGGCAUGAAGUCAAUUCUUCCCCUGUUAAGGAGAGAAUUUAUACGGCAGAGGAUUUGACAGAAAACUCCUUCUAUGAAUUCAGAGUCGCUGCUACAAACCUGGCUGGUAUAGGCCUUCCCUCAGAUCCCAGUGAGCACUUUAUGUGUAAAGCCUGGACCAUGCCAGAACCUGGGCCUGCCUAUGAUCUGACAUUCUGUGAAGUUAGGAAUUCAUCUUUGGUACUUCUGUGGAAAGCACCUGUGUACAGUGGUAACAGUCCUGUUACUGGGUAUUUUGUGGACUAUAAGGAAGUAGAUUCAGAAGAGUGGACCACCGCUAAUGAAAAACAAAUUUCACACUGUUACUUAAAGGUCAAUGAUUUACAUGAGGGCAAAACGUAUGUUUUCAAAGUCCGUGGAGUGAAUAAAGCCGGUAUGGGCAAAUCAUCUGAUAUUUCUGAGCCAGUGCUUAUCGAGGCAAGACCAGGAACCAAGGAAAUUACUGCAGAUGUGGAUGAAGAAGGUAAUAUUUACCUAGCUUUUGAUUGCCCAGAAGUUACAGAGGCAUCAGAUUUUACUUGGUGUAAAUCCUAUGAAGAGAUUACUGAUCUUGAUAAGUUUAAUGCUGAAACAACUGGAGAGCAUUCUAAGUUGUACUUCAAAAAUCCUGAUAAAAUGGACUUGGGAACCUAUUCUGUAGCUGUUAGUGACACAGAUGGCAUCUCAUCCAGCUUUAAAAUGGAUGAGAAAGAGCUUGAACGUCUGAUGACACUAAGCCAUGAUAUAAAGAACCCAACAAUUCCUCUGAAAUCAGAAUUAGCUUAUGAGAUGUUUGAUAAAGGAGAGGUUCGUUUCUGGGUUCAAGCUGAGAGUUUGUCACCAAAUGCCAGCUUCAGAUUUGUUGUUAAUGAUAAAGAAGUUGUAAACAGCGACCGCCAUAGAAUUAAGUGUGACUAUUCAAAUGGCAUUAUUGAGAUGCUGAUGGACCAAUUUACAAUUGAAAAUGAAGGAACUUACACUCUACAAAUUGAAGAUGGAAAUGCAAAGAACCAGUCUUCAUUAGUUCUCAUUGGAGAUGCAUUCAAGGCUGUAUUGGCUGAGGCUGAGCUCCAGAGAAAGGAGUAUCUCAGGAAACAAGGUCCUCAUUUUCUGGAGUAUUUACACUGGGAAGUUACAGAAGAUUGUGAGGUUUUACUUGUGUGUAAGGUGGCAAACACUAAGAAGGAGACAUCUUUCAAAUGGUACAAGGAUGGUUCUGGGCUUGAGGUUAAAGAGUUGCCUGAUUUACAGAAAGGAGUGUGCCAGCUAACUAUUCCAAGGCUGUCUAAAAAGAAUCAAGGUGAAUAUAAGGCAACAGUGUCAGAUGACAGAGGUCAGGAUGUGACUACUCUUGAUAUAUCAGGAAAAGUGUUUGACGAUAUAAUCCUGGCAAUGAGCAGGGUCAUUGGUAAAUCUGCUUCUCCACUGAAGGUCCACUGCACUCCAGAAGGAAUAAGACUUCAAUGUUUCCUGAAGUACUAUGCAGAUGAAAUGAAAGCUAACUGGUAUCAGAGGGAGUCUAAGGUUUCUUCUGGUGAAAAGAUGAGGAUUGGAGGUAGUGAAGAGGUUGCCUGGCUGCAGAUAUGUGAGCCCACUGAAAAGGACAAAGGGAAAUACACCUUUGAAAUUUUUGAUGGCAAAGAAUCCCAUAAGCGCAUGCUUGAUCUAUCUGGACAAGCUUUUGAUGAUGCAUAUGCAGAAUUCCAGCGACUCAAGGCAGUGGCUUUUGCUGAGAAGAAUCGUGGUAAAGUGAUAGGAGGUUUGCCCGAUGUGGUGACUAUAAUGGAAGGCAAGACUUUGAAUCUGAGCUGUUCUGUAUUUGGAAAUCCUGAUCCUGAAGUGGUAUGGCUUUGGAAUGACAAGAAAUUUGAACUUAAUGAACAUUAUUUAGUUUCAAUGGAGCAUGGAAACGUUGCCAGCUUUACAAUCAAGGGAGUGUCCUCCGAGGACUCAGGCAAAUAUAGCAUCAAUGUCAAGAACAAGUAUGGUGGGGAAACAGUGGAUGUUACUAUAAUUGUCACAGACAAACUAGCAGAAAUGAAAGAACUGGAAACAACAUCUGCAGCCAGGAGCACCAACAAACGAAAGCUCUGAGAUUCUUCAUAAAUGUACCUAGCCUCAGCUUCUGGCUUUUCAGAAAGUGACCUGUGUGUAUUGGAGAUAUCUUGGCUGACUUCUUUUGGAACAUUUAUAGUCAUGGAGCAGAAGGUGAAGCUGACAGACCACUGCUGGAAAUGGCAACCAGAAAAGCUAAGACCACAGAACAUGGGUCUGAAUGAAUCCUGCCAUGGAAAAACCAAUGGGAGCGGGGAAGAGGAGAACUCCAGGAGCUAUUGCUUAAGAGUAGAGCUGUCUAACACAUUUGUGGUUCUUCUUCUACUGCACUAUUAUCCUACAGUCUGAGAGCUGUGUUUGUUGUAGUCCCGUAACUGUACUAAACUACAGACUCUGGCACUUCUUUUGGAAGUAUGAAUUCAAAGUUAGAGAGUCAUGUUAUCUACUGUCAACUUUACCUCCACCUGGGGAAGCUGGCUGAAAAAUUGUUCAACCGCAUGAUCACAUUUCUGCUGAGGCAGACAAAAGAGUGGGAGGUUGUUUGUCAGCUUUCGAUGGGCAGAAUUGUAGCAUUCUGGAAUAUUUCCGCUGAUCACAGUGCUUUAAUAACAACAAACACAGGUGCAUCUGGUUUUUAGCUUUAUCUUCUUGUUUUGCCUAAACUAAUGCUUAAAUUUCAAUACAGUUAAUCAAAUAAGUGGCUCCCUUUAUUGUAAGAAAUCUCAUGAAAGUAGUUAUCUUACCCAAUUGUCAUAGAAUUUUUUUUAUUAUAAAAAUAGCAUUUUUAUUUCCCUUUUAUCCCCACUCACUUGAUGAUGCAGUGCUCCUGUUUAUGUACUUUACCAUCUAAUAAUCCCAAAAACUGUGAAAAUUAUUCCUACUACUAUUAUUUGUAUUACACCAGCUGAGAUUGGGGGCCCAUUGUGCUAGGGACAUUGUAAGAGACAGUCACUGUUCUAAAAUUCUUACAAUCUAAACAGACAAGACAAACAAAGGAUAGCAGGGGAAAUACAGCCACAGAGAGGUGACAUGACCUGUUCAUGGACAAUGCAGUUUAGUGGAGCCAGGAAUAGAAUGCAGCUCUGCUGAGUCCCGGCCGAGUGUCUUGUCCACAGAUUUUGUUGCUUCUGAAAUUUCAUUUGUUAUCGGGAGGCAACCAAUAGACCGUCUUUUAAGUAGAUCUGUACAACUAGAAUGAAAAGUUAUCCAUGAGCACUCAGUGAGAUUCAGGGUAAGCAUGUCCUGCAGCGAGAACAUGGGUAUUCACCAUGAAAAUGCUCACAUGGCCAAAUUAGUGUUAUCUUUGUAGGUCUGGGAGUAAAAAUAUUAGUUAGCAGAGAUUUACAAUAGGAGGGGGAUAGACUGGGGAACGGUUUUACGUCCAGUGACAUUUUUGCUCACAUUGCAGCAAAAGAGUAUUGUGCAAGGUGUCUGGAUGUAGCAACUGAUAGGGGAGAAGGAAUUGACACCUGUUGAGUAGGAUGGUUUCCUAUAUACUUAUGGGCUUUAUACUGUCUCCCAUCAACAUAGUAUUUGAGGGCCUUUCACAAAAAAAUCAACACCAACCGCCAAGUCCCUAGUGUAUUUCAUGGAGUCUCCGGCACUUCUCCCUUUUCAGGGUAAAACAUCUCCUUGGGUUAGGGUUUUGGGGGUUUUAAAGGUUAUUAACUUAUUUUUUGCUAAGGUUGACUUAUUUCAGGGUUAUUCUGUUGUUAGUUUUAGUUGGGGAUUUGGGAUAGAAGAAGAGGUCAUUCUUGUGGUGGAAUUUUAUGGCUACCCUGCUGCUGUGGCAGAUCCUGUUCCUGCUGUUGAGUAGGAUGGGAUGGCAUGCAGACUAAAUAUGAACCCAGCAGCAAAGCCCUGGAUACCUAUAGUUUAGUGUGUGUGUAAUCUGGAUCUAGAGUAGAGCUUGUUGGAACAUUUUCACUGAUUUCACUUUAGUGAAAUAUGCUGUUUCAUCCAAGACAAAAUGUUUCACAGUGGGUUUUUUGCAUCAAUGGAGACAGAGACUGAAGCUCUGACUCUAUAUCUUGGAGGUUAGGAGUUCUGGGCUGGGGGUGACCCAGGGGCAGGUCCUUGCUCUGCCUCAUUUGAAGUGAUGCUGGAUGCAAAUCUCUGCUCUGAAUGAGACAGAAGAGGGGCAUGACCUUGAUCCUGAGUCUCCCAGGCCAGUGCUGUAACCCCACUCCUCUCUUGACAUAAUUAUGUUCCUACAAAACCAUUAGAAAGAAUCUGGUUUUGUUCCAGUGUGGAAUGAGAACAAAUUUUGAAAUCUCAGAAGUUGCUGCAAAAUGGAAUUGUCAUCCUCUGGUCAACUCUAAUCAAGACCUCAAUUUUUGUGGCUGAUGAGAGAGAGAGAGCUCUGAUUUGAAACCAGUUAUGUAUCCUACCCUGUGUUUUGUAUUAGAUACCAUGACAAUCACAGUGAUUUUUAUCAGGUUAUAUUGGUGAUUUACUAUUUAUAAAAACGAUUACCAGAAACACAUCCUUAGUUCUUCUAACCAAUGGAUUUUGCAGCUUAAAAAUCUGACAUGGCAUAUUUAGUUUUCUUAUAACAUUUCUUUUAUACAUCAUGAUCCAAAUUCAGUGCUGGCUUGCCCAUCUAAAUGGGACUGAACAGUGCAAUGACAGAAUUUGUUCUAUACUUUAGUAUUUAUCCUACUUAGCUGAUUGAAAAUUUAUAUUGGAAAAUAGGAAUUCUAGAAUGAAAUGUUUAGGGAAAAACUCAGAGUCCACUGAACAUGGAAAGAUUGAGUGAGAUGAAAUUUUUUUAGUUUUAAAGGAAUGGAUAAAAACUGGAAAUAUAAAAUCAUGUUACAUUCACCUGAACUUAAAAGACAAAACUGAAAUAAGAUUCACUGAAGUUUAUAGUUCUUAGGCUCUCAGAACCAUUGCAACUAUUGCAGGCUUACAACCUGAUUCCAGCUUUAAGUAAAUCUCUUUUUAGAACUAAAAUGAUGCAAAAUUCACAUCUUUGCAAGGUCCACAUGAUACUAGGUGAACUGAAUAGUCAUGAAUGAGGGGCAGAUGUGAUUGGAGUCAGCAGGAGUUGAGUGGAUGGGAGGCAGAAGACUGUUUUCUAAUUCCAACUUUGUCAAUGACCUUGUGGUGUGAUUUCAGACAAGUCACUUAUUCAAUAGUUACCCAUCUGUAAAAUAUAAAUAAUAAUACCUUAGAGAGGCAUGUUAGCGCUAUGGGAGCAAGUGCUAAAUAUUAUAAUGAACGGAGUUCACUAGAACCUUAAAAUCAAAGCUCAGGAGAUGUGAACCCCCAGAGAAGGAAUUAAAAAAAAACAUUUUUGCAUCUACUUCAAACCAACAAGUCUUACAGAACUUUACUCCCAAAUCAUUAUCCAGUCUAGCUUGUAUAUCACAGUAGGCUGGAGCUUCCCAGCACACAGAGGGAGUAAACACACUACUAUACCCCUUUAGGGGGUACACGUUUCUUUCCGGUGUUGCUUCAAGUUCCACUCUGCAGGCUGGUGUUUCCCUACCUUGUCCUCCCCAGCUCCUUUCCUUGUACAUCCUGUGCCCUAACAUAGCAGUGAAAGAUCAGUCCAUUCUGCCUGUAUCUUGAGUGUGCCAGGAAAGGGGUGUGAAGGCUUCACCUGACCUCCCCACCCACUAUGCCUCUGGACAAGGGCUUCUUAGAAUCUAGCCCUUUGUUUUGUUGUUUCAAAGACUAAAAAAAGUUGUUUAUUGCAUUUAAAGAAAAGCUCUCUUGUCUAUUUUCUAUACAUGAGCAAUGACGCUCAAUCAAGUCCUGGAAAUCUUACACGUUUUAAUUAGAGAAAUGGGUAGAACUGGUUUGGCAAAUGUAAGGCAGCUACAAACUUGGGAUGUUUGGGAUGCUUUCUUAUCUGGCCUUCAAAUCCAUGUUCAAAGCACAGAUCCUGAGUGGUAUAAUUCACCACACUAGAACCAUGUAUCUACCUACAUCUACCAUCUGCUUUAGUCAGCUAUGUACAAUCAUGAUUCAGUCUAAUGUUGAGUAUUUGAAGAAAAUCUGUAUUACAGUCCACAUCACUUCUAAAUUCAUUUUUAAAUUAAUCAGAUCAUUAAGUUAAUGUAUUAGUCAUCAGAUCAGAUCUAAAUUCCCAUCUUAAUAUCUGCUGAUGGAUAAACAUGUAGAGUUUCAUAUAUAAAACAUUAUUUUAAAAUGCUCCAGGAAAACUAUAUGGACUGUAUUUUCAUGCAGAGUCUGUCCCUAUUGUUUUCCUGUAACUUAACUUACCUACUUUUUAGGGGUGUUGUAAGGUUUCAUUAAUUAAUGUCUCUAAAGAGUUUUGAAAUUCUCCGAUGAAAGGUUGUAUAGAAAGCCAACAUUAUUAUAAUAUAAUUUCAUUGUUCUCAUUAGGGAACACAAGAUUAGAAUGGAAAAUCUGGCAGUCUCUCUGCUCUUUAAUGUAGUGAAUAUGACAAUAAUACAUUUUUCUUUAUGUUGCACAGUGCUACCCAUUUAUUAACAUAUUAGCAACAACCAUCUUGGAUAUAUGAAUAUACUCACUGUACUUUUUUACCCAUUUUUCACAUGUAUGCAAAACAAGGAACAUAUCAUAGGGAAACAAAGGGAAGGUGCAAUAUGUAGGAACAAAGAAUAUCAGGGUUGAAAGGGACCCCAGGAGGUCAUGUAGUCCAAUCCCCUGCUCAAAGCAGGACCAAUCCCAGUUAGAUUUUUGCCCCAAAUCUUUAAAUGGUCCCCUCAAAGAUUGAACUCACAACCCUGGGUUUAACAGGCCAAUGCUCAAACCACUGAGCUAUCCCCCCCAAUGCAGGCUGCAGCUUUGAAAUGAGGGACUAUAGCCUAUAAAGCAGUGACUCUGAAAAGGAUUUAGGAAUCAUAAGGGAAAAACAUCUCAACAUGAGUUCCACAUGCUGUGCUGUGGCAAAAAGGAUUAAGGUGAUCCUUGGAUGCAUAAACAGGGAACUUGUAGAUAAGAGUAGGGAGGCAGUUUUACCUCCGUAUAUGGCAUUGGUGAGACUUAAACUGGAAUAUUGCAUCUUGUCCCGGUGUCCACAUUUUAAAAAGGUUGAAAUGUUUUGCCUUGAUUUCAACUUUUAUUUUUUACACUUUUGUACUAUAAAUUAACGUAAAUUUCAAAAAGAAAAACCUUUCUGAACAACAACAACAACAACAAAAAAUGGAACUUUUCAUUUAAAAAAUUGAACAUUUUGACAAUUUCUAAAGUUUUGGCCAAAAAUUUUGAAAUGAGAAAUGUAUUGAAAUGGAAUCUUUCAUGAAAAGUUGGGAUUUUGAUUAAUUAAAAAUUCCUGACCCACUGUAAUAUACAGUCACUAGUAAAAUGGAGCCCCAAUCCCUAAAUGGGGCCCCAAAGAAGAAAUGUCCAGUGGUUAAGAUGCUAGACUAGGAUUCAGUACAUCCAGGUUCAACACUCUUCUUGGCCACAGACUUACUUUAACCUUGGACAAGUCACUUAGUUGCCUAAAUACCUGGCCCUAAAGAUGCAAAUAGAUACCUAUUAGGAUUUACAAAAGUGUUUAGGUUCCUAAUUUCCAUUGAUUUCAACUCUGAAAAUCCCACUAGGUGCCUAUCUGCAUCUUUAGGUGUCUGAAUACCUUUAAAAUCUGGGCUUUAGUUCCUCUGUUCCCCAUCUGUAGAAUAACACUACUACUUCUCUACCUCACAGGAGCAUUGUGAGGAUAAAUAUAUUAAAGAUUGUGACGGGCUCAGAUUCUACAAUAAUGGAGGCCAUAAAAUUAGCUAUAUCAGAUACUACGUAAAUACAAAUUGUAACAACAAUGGAUUUAAAAAAAAAAAAGUUUCCUGAUAGAGAUAU
Chrysemys picta bellii (western painted turtle) is the source of this 10302-nucleotide RNA transcript. It is a transcript of the gene named myomesin 2, with no coding region annotated. NCBI's taxonomy places the organism in Eukaryota, Metazoa, Chordata, Testudines, Emydidae. The record is from RefSeq and is a predicted model, not a curated record.